RNAcentral lists this ribosomal RNA (549 nucleotides) under uncultured Glomus. Its description in RNAcentral is "SSU rRNA". It matches the Rfam family "Eukaryotic small subunit ribosomal RNA", at positions 548 to 1098 of the family's 1831-position model. The record is from RNAcentral. Lineage: Eukaryota; Fungi; Glomeromycota; Glomeromycetes; Glomerales; Glomeraceae.
UUGGAGGGCAAGUCUGGUGCCAGCAGCCGCGGUAAUUCCAGCUCCAAUAGCGUAUAUUAAAGUUGUUGCAGUUAAAAAGCUCGUAGUUGAAUUUCGGGGUUAGUAGGUUGGUCAUGCCUCUGGUAUGUACUGGUCUCACUGAUUCCUCCUUCCUGAUGAACCGUAAUGCCAUUAAUUUGGUGUUGCGGGGAAUUUGGACUGUUACUCUGAAAAAAUUAGAGUGUUUAAAGCAAGCUAACGCUUGAAUACAUUAGCAUGGAAUAAUGAAAUAGGACGUUCGAUCCUAUUUUGUUGGUUUCUAGGAUCGACGUAAUGAUUAAUAGGGAUAGUUGGGGGCAUUAGUAUUCAAUUGUCAGAGGUGAAAUUCUUGGAUUUAUUGAAGACUAACUACUGCGAAAGCAUUUGCCAAGGAUGUUUUCAUUAAUCAAGAACGAAAGUUAGGGGAUCGAAGACGAUCAGAUACCGUCGUAGUCUUAACCAUAAACUAUGCCGACUAGGGAUCGGAUGAUGUUAAUUUUUUAAUGACUCAUUCGGCGCCUUACGGGAAAC